RNAcentral lists this ribosomal RNA (274 nucleotides) under uncultured bacterium. RNAcentral's name for it is "partial 16S ribosomal RNA". It matches the Rfam family "Bacterial small subunit ribosomal RNA", at positions 335 to 603 of the family's 1533-position model. The record is from RNAcentral.
ACUCCUACGGGAGGCAGCAGUGGGAAUAUUGGACAAAUGGGGAACCGUACUCAGCCAUGCCGCGUGUGUGAAGAAGGCCUUCGGGUUGUAAAAGCACUUUCAGUAGGGAGGAAGGUAGUGUAGUUAACACCUGCAUUAUUUGACGUUACCUACAGAAGAAGCACCGGCUAACUCCGUGCCAGCAGCCGCGGUAAUACGGAGGGUGCGAGCGUUAAUCGGAAUUACUGGGCGUAAAGCGCAUGCAGGCGGCCUGUUAAGUCAGAUGUGAAAGCCC